Molecule: long non-coding RNA, 542 nt
Organism: Lathyrus oleraceus (garden pea)
Lineage: Eukaryota; Viridiplantae; Streptophyta; Magnoliopsida; Fabales; Fabaceae
Exons: 3
Source: RefSeq, a predicted model, not a curated record
AAUUAAUUAAAUACAAUGCACCGUUACAAAUUAAAUACAAAGCUCUCUUACACCAAAGACAGUUGAAGCAUUAAUUUGCACACAAAAUUGGUGUAAAGCAUCCCCAGUGUCAGUUGAUAUUGAAGAGCUUGUGUCAGUUGAUAUUGAAGAGCUUGUGGAUGAAUUAGAAAAUCUGGAAUUAGAACUUGUUCCAAUUCCACAAUUGAAUGAAGAUGUAUCUGAUAUUGAUUCUGAUUAGCUAUGGUACUUUGAGCUAGUCUUGAUAUGACCAGACCAAUUAGAAAGAAUGAAUAUUCUUAUUAACAAGCUGGAAUUGUUGUAGGCUAAUUAGAAAGAAUGGUGAUUUUGAUUAUCAGGAAAUACACAUGCUUUUAUUAUGAUUUUCUACAGUUAUGUUAUUGUUCUGUUGAUUCCUGUAAUAAUUUUCUGAAAACCGUUGUUGUUCCUGCAAUGUUGUUGAUUUUUGUUCUGUUGCAGAAAAAUUAAAUUUCUACUGGAAAAUUGAAUUGUUCUUGAAUUUGCAAUUCAAUAAUUGUUCUUGA